Molecule: ribosomal RNA, 253 nt
Filed under: uncultured bacterium
Lineage: Bacteria
Description: partial 16S ribosomal RNA
Rfam family: Bacterial small subunit ribosomal RNA
Source: RNAcentral
UACGUAGGGGGCAAGCGUUGUCCGGAUUUAUUGGGCGUAAAGAGCGUGUAGGCGGCCAGACAGGUCCGUUGUGAAAACUCGAGGCUCAACCUCAAGACGUCGACGGAAACCGUCUGGCUAGAGUCCGGAAGAGGAGUGUGGAAUUCCUGGUGUAGCGGUGAAAUGCGCAGAUAUCAGGAAGAACACCUAUGGCGAAGGCAGCACUCUGGGACGGUACUGACGCUGAGACGCGAAAGCGUGGGGAGCGAACAGG